GGAGAUGUGAUUUAGCAGUUGAAAGUUCUGGUUGCUCUUCCAGAGGACCUGGGUUCAAUUCCCAGCACCCACA
Molecule: transfer RNA, 73 nt
Filed under: Rattus norvegicus (Norway rat)
Lineage: Eukaryota; Metazoa; Chordata; Mammalia; Rodentia; Muridae
Rfam family: tRNA
About the family: Transfer RNA (tRNA) molecules are approximately 80 nucleotides in length. Their secondary structure includes four short double-helical elements and three loops (D, anti-codon, and T loops). Further hydrogen bonds mediate the characteristic L-shaped molecular structure. tRNAs have two regions of fundamental functional importance: the anti-codon, which is responsible for specific mRNA codon recognition, and the 3' end, to which the tRNAs corresponding amino acid is attached (by aminoacyl-tRNA synthetases). tRNAs cope with the degeneracy of the genetic code in two manners: having more than one tRNA (with a specific anti-codon) for a particular amino acid; and 'wobble' base-pairing, i.e. permitting non-standard base-pairing at the 3rd anti-codon position.
Source: Rfam by way of RNAcentral